Molecule: long non-coding RNA, 330 nt
Organism: Candoia aspera
Lineage: Eukaryota; Metazoa; Chordata; Lepidosauria; Squamata; Candoiidae
Exons: 3
Source: RefSeq, a predicted model, not a curated record
UCACCCCACUUAUGAAGAAACCUGUCCUGGGAUUCAGGGACUUGGCCAAUUACUAUUAAACACCCUUUAACACCCUCUUCAUCAAGGAACCUCUACAUCUAUGUUUUAUCUGUUAAUAGUUCAUCUGCUGUAGUACAAAUCGGAUCUCCACAGCAAAGAGACUGGACUGGUCUGAAAACUGACACAGGAGGGGAGGAGGAAUUGUGUAGCUGCCUUUACGAAGACCCAGCUUGCUGAAGCUUCCAGCCCCAAAGCUAUGCUGAUCCUAUCCUGUCCUUCCAAACUGCGCCUGCUGAAGGGAAUGCCGAGGAAGAGUCUCCCUCAGGCACA